RNAcentral lists this long non-coding RNA (259 nucleotides) under Phoenix dactylifera (date palm). RNAcentral describes it as "long non-coding RNA (PDAC_LNC016402)". The record is from RNAcentral. Lineage: Eukaryota; Viridiplantae; Streptophyta; Magnoliopsida; Arecales; Arecaceae.
CUGAGUAUAAGUAUCAUCGUCCUCCUCUUCCAACCUUUUUUCCAUAUCAUACAAGUCUUUAGGUUUCGUCUUAAUAACAAGAGACCAAUUUUUAUCUUUUGAGUCUUGCACAAAAAAUACUUGUCGAGCUUGAGAUGAAAAAAUAAAUGGAUCAUCUUUCAAUAACACACCAGUAUGUAUCAACCUUGAAAAAUUUACAAGUGUGAAUCCAUUUAUGUCUUGCCUCAAAUCUCUAGGUGAGUUUAUAUCCACCCAAUCA